This 550-nucleotide long non-coding RNA is filed under the name Helianthus annuus (common sunflower). RNAcentral's name for it is "sRNA HanXRQr2_Chr01g0041861". Lineage: Eukaryota; Viridiplantae; Streptophyta; Magnoliopsida; Asterales; Asteraceae. The record is from RNAcentral.
GGCAGAGUCAAAAUCGGUGUAGGAACCCAACAUGAUGACGUGGACCCCCGAGACCUCAAACGAGUAGUACAAGUUAGAAGUUGAACCACUCUCUUCAAACGGCAUAUGCCACCUUGCAUUGUAGGCGGUUAAUGGGCUUGGGUGGAUGGCCGGGAUUCUCUCAACCUCGUGGUUGCCUUGUGUCACCAUCCAUGUUCGUUGGCUCGCUAACGGCUCAACGAGGCGUCCGUAAGAGUCCCAAAGUGGUUGCAACAUAUCGGCAUAUGACAAAUCUCCGGGUAGUAGAAGCACAUCAUAGUUUGUUUGUGAAAUGUGUUCAAGGGUAGAUUUGGUCCAUCCGGUUUGUCCAAGUUACCUGAAAUGACAAAUUUUAUUGGAAAACUGGCCGGAGGAGUCUUGAAAGAAUACCCAUGAGUCGUACCAAGGGCAAAACAAUAAUAGUAUAUGGUAUUCGGGUCUAAUGGACCUAUUACUACGUCGUGUAUUUCACCUGACGUGUAAGUUAGGUAUUCAUAAGAAGAAAUGGUCCCGUUAGCAGAAUGAUCAUAUU